CCGGGCUAAUUAAAGGUAUAUACUAAAUAAUGAUAUACAUGUAUAAAGUAUAUAAUAAGGAUUGUUUGGCGUCCAAAACUAAAUUUAAUGAAGUGUAAAUGUUGGAUGUAAAAUAGUUAUCCCAUUCAGACUGCACUUGACAGUGUAAGAUCAUACACUGAAACACUGCGUCCUCAUUUGAUAACUAUUACUGAAACACCAAAUCCUACAAUUUAAUUGGUCGAAAGCACUUUGCUAUAUUCUAAUUGGGAUUAGUAUACAAAUCGACACACAGUCCAUAGUCCGUAAAACAUCGUUUAAAUUGUGUAUGUUAAUUGUGUUGACAGGUCAUUCAAUUUAUAACGUUAAUUUGUCAAAUUUUAAGACGAAUAUGUAUAUCACUCGUGGUAUUUAUCGAGCCUUAGUCUCAUUUCCUUUAUUUUUUUCAAAGUGAAA
Molecule: long non-coding RNA, 435 nt
Filed under: Mytilus galloprovincialis (Mediterranean mussel)
Lineage: Eukaryota; Metazoa; Mollusca; Bivalvia; Mytilida; Mytilidae
Source: RNAcentral